This 274-nucleotide ribosomal RNA is filed under the name uncultured bacterium. RNAcentral describes it as "partial 16S ribosomal RNA". It matches the Rfam family "Bacterial small subunit ribosomal RNA", at positions 523 to 796 of the family's 1533-position model. The record is from RNAcentral.
AUACGGAGGGUGCAAGCGUUAAUCGGAAUUACUGGGCGUAAAGCGCGCGUAGGCGGCUUUGUAAGUCGGAUGUGAAAGCCCUGGGCUCAACCUGGGAAUGGCAUUCGAUACUGCAGAGCUAGAGUAUGGUAGAGGGAAGUGGAAUUUCCGAUGUAGCGGUGAAAUGCGUAGAUAUCAGAAAGAACACCAGUGGCGAAGGCGACUACCUGGGCCAAUACUGACGCUGAGGUGCGAAAGCGUGGGGAGCAAACAGGAUUAGAAACCCCAGUAGUCC